UACGAAGGGGGCUAGCGUUGCUCGGAAACACUGGGCGUAAAGGGUGCGUAGGCGGGUCUUUAAGUCAGGGGUGAAAUCCUGGAGCUCAACUCCAGAACUGCCUUUGAUACUGAGGAUCUUGAGUUCGGGAGAGGUGAGUGGAACUGCGAGUGUAGAGGUGAAAUUCGUAGAUAUUCGCAAGAACACCAGUGGCGAAGGCGGCUCACUGGCCCGAUACUGACGCUGAGGCACGAAAGCGUGGGGAGCAAACAGG
RNAcentral lists this ribosomal RNA (253 nucleotides) under uncultured bacterium. RNAcentral describes it as "partial 16S ribosomal RNA". It matches the Rfam family "Bacterial small subunit ribosomal RNA", at positions 524 to 776 of the family's 1533-position model. The record is from RNAcentral.